UACGUAGGUGGCAAGCGUUGUCCGGAAUUAUUGGGCGUAAAGCGCGCGCAGGUGGUUUCUUAAGUCUGAUGUGAAAGCCCACGGCUCAACCGUGGAGGGUCAUUGGAAGCUGGGGAACUUGAGUGCAGAAGUGGAAAGUGGAAUUCCAAGUGUAGCGGUGAAAUGCGUAGAGAUUUGGAGGAACACCAGUGGCGAAGGCGACUUUCUGGUCUGUAACUGACACUGAGGCGCGAAAGCGUGGGGAGCGAACAGG
This 253-nucleotide ribosomal RNA is filed under the name uncultured bacterium. RNAcentral describes it as "partial 16S ribosomal RNA". It matches the Rfam family "Bacterial small subunit ribosomal RNA", at positions 524 to 776 of the family's 1533-position model. The record is from RNAcentral.